GCUAAACGCGAAGAACCUUACCUGGCCUUGACAUCCAUGGAAUCCCGAAGAGAUUUGGGAGUGCCGCAAGGAACCAUGAGACAGGUGCUGCAUGGCUGUCGUCAGCUCGUGUCGUGAGAUGUUGGGUUAAGUCCCGCAACGAGCGCAACCCUUGUCCUUAGUUGCCAUCAUUAAGUUGGGAACUCUAAGGAGACCGCCGGUGACAAACCGGAGGAAGGUGGGGAUGACGUCAAGUCAUCAUGGCCUUUAUGGCCAGGGCUACACACGUGCUACAAUGGCAGGUACAGAGGGAAGCCAACCGGCGACGGGGAGCUAAUCCCAGAAAGCCUGUCUUAGUCCGGAUUGCAGUCUGCAACUCGACUGCAUGAAGUUGGAAUCGCUAGUAAUCGCAGAUCAGCAUUGCUGCGGUGAAUACGUUCCCGGGUCUUGUACACACCG
Molecule: ribosomal RNA, 438 nt
Filed under: uncultured bacterium
Lineage: Bacteria
Description: bacterial SSU rRNA
Rfam family: Bacterial small subunit ribosomal RNA
Source: RNAcentral